GAUGAACGCUGACAGAAUGCUUAACACAUGCAAGUCGAUGGGGAAGUGGUGCUUGCACCAUGGCAACCAUGGCGGACGGGUGAGUAACGCGUAAGGGACUUACCUGCAGGACUGGGAUAACAGGGGGAAACUCCUGACAAGACCGGAUAAUGUCAUGGAGCUGCAUGGCUUUAUGAUGAAAGGAGACGCCUGCGGAGAGCCUUGCGUCCUAUUAGCUAGUUGGUGAGGUAAUGGCUCGCCAAGGCGAAGAUAGGUAGCCGGCCUGAGAGGGUGGACGGCCACAAGGGGACUGAGAUACGGCCCUUACUCCUACGGGAGGCAGCAGUGGGGAAUAUUGGACAAUGGGGGCAACCCUGAUCCAGCAAUUCUGUGUGCACGAAGAAGGUUUUCGGAUUGUAAAGUGCUUUCAGCAGGGAAGAAGUAAGUGACGGUACCUGCAGAAGAAGCGACGGCUAAAUACGUG
This 463-nucleotide ribosomal RNA is filed under the name uncultured bacterium. RNAcentral describes it as "partial 16S ribosomal RNA". It matches the Rfam family "Bacterial small subunit ribosomal RNA", at positions 28 to 507 of the family's 1533-position model. The record is from RNAcentral.